GGGGCUGAUCGGUUUCGACAGCAAGAUGAAGUGGAAUGUAAGCAUGUCGGGAUAUGGAGAUGUUCUCCCGCAAAUAGAUGCUUCAAACUAUAAUUGGCGAAAAUAACUUCGCACUUGCCGCUUAAGCCUACGGAAUGUAGCUUUAGCUAAUCCACGCGUAAGACGCGGGAGCAAGUCAUCCCUCGGCGCUUAAGCCCGGAGAGCGCAGAAUCAGGGGUGUCAUUAAAUCUGGACUAACGGGUAAAGCUUUGCGUAGUGCCCGCGACAUUGUAAUCCGCAAAUAAGCCAGUACUCGGGUGUUUGUUCCCAGGUCCUGGUCGACAACUGAAUAACGAAAUAAGCAUGUAGAAAGCCUUUUACUUCCUUGUUUGCACCGGGGUUCGACUCCCCGCAGCUCCACA
RNAcentral lists this transfer-messenger RNA (401 nucleotides) under uncultured Croceimicrobium sp. It matches the Rfam family "transfer-messenger RNA". From Rfam's summary of the family: Bacterial tmRNA, also known as 10Sa RNA or SsrA, is named for its dual tRNA and mRNA-like properties. Its role is to liberate the mRNA from a stalled ribosome. Lineage: Bacteria; Pseudomonadati; Bacteroidota; Flavobacteriia; Flavobacteriales; Owenweeksiaceae. The record is from RNAcentral.